RNAcentral lists this ribosomal RNA (471 nucleotides) under Proasellus sp. type locality of P. gourbaultae. RNAcentral describes it as "partial 16S ribosomal RNA". It matches the Rfam family "Bacterial large subunit ribosomal RNA", at positions 1835 to 2597 of the family's 2925-position model. Lineage: Eukaryota; Metazoa; Arthropoda; Malacostraca; Isopoda; Asellidae. The record is from RNAcentral.
CUCUUGAAAUAUUUCAAGUACCCUCUGCCCUAUGAAUAGUUUAAAUGGCCGCAGUACUUUGACUGUGCAAAGGUAGCAUAAUCACUUGUCUCUUAAUUGGGGGCUAGAAUGAAGGAGGCGACGAAACUUAGGCUAUUUAGUUUUAAAAUGAAAUUAACAUAAAGGUCAAAAGGCCUUUAUACCCCAAAGGGACGAUAAGACCCUAUAAAACUUUACUAUAUAAUAUGUUAAAUAGGCAAGAUUUAAACUAUAGUUUAGCUGGGGUGGCUUAUAUAAAAACAAUUGAAAUAAAAAUAUUUUAAAUAGAUUUAGAGAACUUUAGUAGGAAAUGAACAAGUUACUUUAGGGAUAACAGCAUAAUUCUCCCAGAGAGUCCUAAUUGGCGGGAGAGCUUAUGACCUCGAUGUUGAAUUGGGGUGUCUGGUGUAAGUAGAAAUAUARUAAGAUAGUCUGUUCGACUAUUAAACUCCC